Molecule: ribosomal RNA, 169 nt
Filed under: uncultured bacterium
Lineage: Bacteria
Description: partial 16S ribosomal RNA
Rfam family: Bacterial small subunit ribosomal RNA
Source: RNAcentral
UCCUACGGGAGGCAGCAGUGGGGAAUAUUGGACAAUGGGCGCAAGCCUGAUCCAGCCAUGCCGCGUGGGUGAUGAAGGCCCUAGGGUUGUAAAGCCCUUUCGGCGGGGAAGAUAAUGACGGUACCCGCAGAAGAAGCCCCGGCUAACUUCGUGCCAGCAGCCGCGGUAA